UUUCCGUGGUGUUUGGCAUCUCUCCAUUUAUUUAAGUAAGCCCAUGUUUGAUUUCAAAACUGAAGUUUUACAUACAACUCUCUGAACAGGGUUUGAAUAGGCAGGUAUUUCCUUAAUAAUUCGUGGUCACCUGGUGAUGCUGAAACUGUACAUUCACAACCUGGCAGGACUCCCCAGUGGACUGCAGCUGCUCUGGGCAUCCUUCAGGUCCAGUGAGAGAUACAGUGUGGGCAAAGUGCAAAACCAGAGAGUCAUGGAGGUUGGUGAGCUGUCCUGUCGGAAGCUUGUGUUGUGAUCUGGGAAGUUUAGAUCUGGAUUUGAAUUUCACAGCUCAGGACUGUCUUUAUAAUGGCCCCAACUACAACGUAAAUGUCACUCUCCACCCCAAACUUUGGGUCACGUUAGCUUCAGCUCUGAACUCAAUAAUAGAUUCAUGAGAAUUUUUGAGAUUUUUUUUAAAAAAAAUCUGUCACAAAUUGGGACAAAAUUUGAAAUCUCAGAAAUUGUCAUGAAUCAAUAACAAUGCAUUCUUUACAAUAUGCCUUGAAUUUUAUGUUUUAAAAAAAGAAUGAACAGUUUAGCUACCAACCAAAUUAAAAAAAAAAAAACGAGAAGAAAACCCAAACCAGCCUCUGACUCCUGAUAUACAAAUAGUAGAGAAGUAAACCAAAUGACAGUAAUUUUGUUUUCAAUGUGAUAAAGAUUUUGCCUUGA
Chelonia mydas (Green sea turtle) is the source of this 714-nucleotide long non-coding RNA. RefSeq lists it as uncharacterized. The record is from RefSeq and is a predicted model, not a curated record. Lineage: Eukaryota; Metazoa; Chordata; Testudines; Cheloniidae. The transcript has 3 exons.